Molecule: ribosomal RNA, 425 nt
Filed under: uncultured bacterium
Lineage: Bacteria
Description: partial 16S ribosomal RNA
Rfam family: Bacterial small subunit ribosomal RNA
Source: RNAcentral
GUGGGGAAUAUUGCACAAUGGGCGAAAGCCUGAUGCAGCGACGCCGCGUGAGCGAUGAAGUAUUUCGGUACGUAAAGCUCUAUCAGCAGGGAAGAUAAUGACGGUACCUGACUAAGAAGCACCGGCUAAAUACGUGCCAGCAGCCGCGGUAAUACGUAUGGUGCAAGCGUUAUCCGGAUUUACUGGGUGUAAAGGGAGCGUAGGCGGCGUGGUAAGUCAGAAGUGAAAGCCCGGGUCUCAACCCCGGUACUGCUUUUGAAACUAUCAUGCUAGAGUGUCGGAGAGGUAAGUGGAAUUCCUAGUGUAGCGGUGAAAUGCGUAGAUAUUAGGAGGAACACCAGUGGCGAAGGCGGCUUACUGGACGAUAACUGACGCUGAGGCUCGAAAGCGUGGGGAGCAAACAGGAUUAGAUACCCGGGUAGUCC